Molecule: ribosomal RNA, 253 nt
Filed under: uncultured bacterium
Lineage: Bacteria
Description: partial 16S ribosomal RNA
Rfam family: Bacterial small subunit ribosomal RNA
Source: RNAcentral
UACGUAGGGUGCAAGCGUUGUCCGGAAUUAUUGGGCGUAAAGAGCUCGUAGGCGGUCUGUCGCGUCUGCUGUGAAAUUUCGGGGCUCAACCCCGGACUUGCAGUGGAUACGGGCAGACUAGAGUGUGGUAGGGGAGACUGGAAUUCCUGGUGUAGCGGUGAAAUGCGCAGAUAUCAGGAGGAACACCGAUGGCGAAGGCAGGUCUCUGGGCCGCUACUGACGCUGAGAAGCGAAAGCAUGGGGAGCGAACAGG